Molecule: long non-coding RNA, 3196 nt
Organism: Triticum aestivum (bread wheat)
Lineage: Eukaryota; Viridiplantae; Streptophyta; Magnoliopsida; Poales; Poaceae
Exons: 3
Source: RefSeq, a predicted model, not a curated record
UUUUCCAUCGCAACCCGCGUGUCUGUGUGGUUGACACUGUCACCCUCCUCCUCCGAGCCGAACACGCAACCCCGAACAGAGUCGAGCGAGAGAGAGAUAGCCAUGGCGAUUUGGAGCUCCGCCUCACCGCUCGAUCCAGUGUUUUGGUGGUGACUCGUCCGCGCUCUCCCUCGUGCUGCCCCGCUUCCUCCGCCUCCCUUCUGUUCCUGCCGGCGGGAUCUGCGGCAUCUCUCGGCCACGCACCGAUCCGUCCCCAUUUUCAUCGCUGGCGAUUUUGUUCGUCGGAUUCAGUCCCCCCCCCCCUCCUCCCUUUUUGUUGUUCUUGUGAUCUGUUAGGUAGGGAGUUGGUUUUGUCUGUCAGAUUUGAUGAUUGUAUCCAUCCCCCGCAGCUUUUUUCCGUGUAGAUUUGUUUAGGUUGCACCGUUUCUGGGAUGCGUUUGAUUGUUCUGCUAAGCGCGGUAGCUGCCGUAGCUGGGAUGUGUGUCAGUUCGAUGUGCUGAUCUAUAAUUGAUUGGAUGUUGGAGUCCGAGUUGUUCAUGUGAGGCUGGCUUGCUUAGUUGUAGUACUCUGAUGUAUUCUGUCAAUUUGAACGGAUGUAUUCUGUUCCCUGGUCUUUAAUCCCUAGACCAUUUCUUUUCACUGGUAUCGUUUAGCGGGUAUGUGGUUUACUCUGUAAUUUCUAUUUUGGAUUUACAGUGCAAUCCCCAUUGUUUUUUAGAGUGAUUUUCAGUGUAAUUUAUAUUGGAUUUUCAUUGAUUUUCACUGUAAUCCGUACUGGAUUUCCAGUGUAAUUUUCUUGUGGAUAGGUAGUAUAUUUGUAGUGUAAACCCAAAGCAAUUUGUAGUGUAAUCCCCGGUUAUUUUACAGUGUAAUUUCAGUGUAUUUGCACUAUAUUUGCUAGUGGAAUAAUAGUGUAUAUGUCCUAAUUGCAGUGUAUUUUUGUCAGUGGGGUUGCACUGUAUUUGUUAGUGGAAUUACAGUGUAUUUGUCAGUGAUGUACAGUGUAAUUUGAUAGCUGAUUUAUAGUGUAAUUGCCAUGGAUUUGCACUGUAUUCGCUAGUGGAAUUACAGUGUAAUUCACUUGAAUUUUUAUUGUGGAAUUGCGUUUUGGAUUUACAAUGUAUUUGUCGGCAAAUUUACAGUGUAAUUCAUAGUUGGUUUUACUGUGUAAAUUCAGUGUAAUUUACACUUUAAUUGAGUAGCAGAGGAAUUGUGACUGUUCUUAUGAUGCACCGCUAGUUUGUAUGUUCUUGUGAUGCAUCUGAUUCCAGUGUAUUUUCUUGAGGAUUUAGACUAUAAUUAUAUUUGGAUGUACACUGUAAUCUUCAUCGGAAUUCCAGUGUAUUUUCUUAGUGGGUGAUUACAGUGUAUUUACAAUGUAAUUCUCAGUUGGUUUCCACUGUAAUUCGCAUGGGAUUUCUUCACUGUAAUUCUUAGUGGGUUAUGUAGUGAAAUAAAAGAGAUGUAGACUGUAAAUGCUAUCAAUGCAUUUCUUCUUUAUAUUUUUUUUAUGUUUUAUCCCUUUUGCCAUUUCAUCUCAGACAUUUUGUCCUUUUCUUUGUGUUUGUACAUAUUUAGGUUAUAGAUUAAAGUAUGGGGAGACUCAUGAAGGCUUUUGGUAAGGGCACUUAUGCUGCUUGUGUUCAAGAUUGUGAUGAUUCAGAUGGGGAUCCUUUUGUCCCCAAUGAUUUUGCUGAGGAUGAUCCUUUUCAAGAUUCGGAGGAACGUCAAAUGGAUGAUCAUGAUUUUGAGAAAGUCUUAGGCCAUGCUUUUUAGCUGCUUUUUUCUAGUCUGGCUUUGAUAAAGAUGGGGUGUGUACCCGCUCAGGGCAUGUGCUGCUAUGAUGAAGUGGAUUUAUUUCCGGUCAUGUCCUCUUCCAGUUUUUUGACUGUAGUCCCUGAUGGGUUGUAGUGUAAUUAUUUGUUGAUUUUGCUCUGUAAUGCCCAGUGGCAUUACACUGUAUGUUAAUUGGUCUUACAUAGUAAUUCUUAGUGGGUUCACACACUAAUUUACAAAGUAGUUUACACAGUAAUUUUAGCACUUCCUUACUGUUGGUUAGUGUUCAUUUUUGUUGGCUUGUUCAAAACUGCAAUUCUUACAGUGUAAUUCUAGGUAGAUUUACAGUGAAAUUCUAAGUGGAUUUACACUGUAAUUCCUACUAUAUUUACACUAUAAUUCUAGGUCGAUUUUACAGUGUAAAUCUAGAUAUUUACACUGUAAUUCCUACUGGAUUUACACUGUAAUUCCUACUAUAUUUACAAUGUAAUUCCAGGUCGAUUUUACAUUGUAAAUCUAGGUAGAUUUAUACUGUAAUUCCUACUGGAUUUACACUGUAAUUCCUACCGUAUUUUCAGUGUUUUUCUUAGUGUAGUAGAUUUUACAGUGGAUUCAAACUGGAUUUACAGCGGUAUUUAAAGUGUAAAUCUUAGUGUAAUUUUAGUUGAUUUUAUAGUGUAAUUUUAGUGGUUUUUGUCAUUUUCAUUUUAAUUGUGUGUGGUUAGUAGAUUAGAGAUGGGAAAGUAUUGCCUGGGUUCUUUUUCUCCUUUCUCGCUGCUUUGCCUGUGUGGGUUGAAAAGAGUUGGGGUGUGGAUCCAAUAACAUCUUGGUGCGGGUCCGUUUAAAAGCGGUAUGAACCACCUGAAGUAGCUCAGUAAAAGAGUAUGAUCCACUUUGUUAUUUGUCAAGACUCUAGUUAAAGAAAGCAUGUUUUUGAUAACUUUUUUUGUUUUCAGGAUUGUUUUCUCUAUUAGAAAGCCAUAUGUUAAGGAAAUCAACUUCAUCUUCAUUGAGAUUUGUUCAGGCAGGAGAGAGACGACAGGAGGUGAUGAAUGCACAGGAGACGGGGGGGGGGGGGGGUUACCUGUGAUUUCUUUUUUCCUUCUCCAGCCAUGUUUGUGUCUAGAACUCUAGAUCAUGGAGGAAUCGCCCUCUCUGGUGGCGCUUCUCUGGGGUAAAUUUAGCACUUUCUCAAUGGAAUUGUAGUGUAAUUCUUUUGUGUGUUUUAAGUGCUAUUUACAGUGUACUUUUAGUGUAAUUACUGUGCAUUUUCAGUGAAAUUUACACUGUAAUUGUUAGUGGAAUUUACAUUGUAAAUGUUAGUGGGUUUAUGGUGUACUUCUAGUGGAUUUUUGCUCUGUAUUUGCAAGUGGCAUUUUUAGUGGAAUUACUGUGUAUUUCCAUGGUUUUUACACUGCAA